This 177-nucleotide non-coding RNA is filed under the name Chloroflexi bacterium CFX4. Its description in RNAcentral is "6S RNA". It matches the Rfam family "6S / SsrS RNA". From Rfam's summary of the family: E. coli 6S RNA was the first non coding RNA to be sequenced, but its function was unknown until recently. It consists of 184 nucleotides that fold into an extended hairpin structure with a large single-stranded internal bulge. The 6S RNA specifically associates with RNA polymerase holoenzyme containing the sigma70 specificity factor. RNAcentral also lists the same sequence under 1 other name. The record is from RNAcentral. Lineage: Bacteria; Bacillati; Chloroflexota.
AUGUGCCUGCUGUGUGCGUGAUGCCGCACCCUAAGUUUUGAGCCAACACCCAUCUGACGGGCAUUCACAUCCAGCCCUAGCGCGGUAGACAAUAGUCAAGGCGUGAAGGUUGGCGAGAUGACCCACCUGCGAAAGCAGGUUCAAAACACCGCGUUCACACGGCAUAGCGGGUACUUU